UCUUCCGUGGCGCAAUUGGCUAGCGCGUUCGACUGUUAUACCUUCUUCUGAAGGUCGCAGUCUAUCGAGAGGUUGGUGGUUCGAGCCCACCCGGAAGAG
Non-coding RNA from Zalaria obscura, 99 nucleotides. NCBI's taxonomy places the organism in Eukaryota, Fungi, Ascomycota, Dothideomycetes, Dothideales, Zalariaceae. The record is from the annotation of a GenBank genome assembly.